GCGGGCAGAGGGGCGCGGCCGGGGCCUCGCGCGCCGGCGGAGAGCGCCAAGGGCCGGGAGGAGCCGGAGGCUCGGCGGGCCGGCUCUGGGGAGUCGCUCAGGGUCCCGGAGCGGUCCUGUCAGAGCGGAGGCGGAGCUCUCGCUGCUCCCGGGCUCCGUCGGGGCAGCUGCGGGGCUCGCCUUCCUCAAGGCUGCCGCGCGUCCAGAGAACUGACGAGAAGGGAAAGAGGUCACCAGGAAGGCAAUGUGGAUGUUGUCCCUCCGCCUGGAAAAUGCUGCCCGUGGACCGGUGGUCUUUCUGUGUGAAAACGGUGGCUCUGCGUCAGGCUCAUCCACCAACCCUAUAACGAGGUGCUAUUCCAUUCAACUGCAAAAAUACUUGCAUUGACCCCAGAAACAGAAUGGAGAAGAAGAGGGAAACAGAUUUCUGUAAAGCAAUGACUUCCCUAUGUGAUGCCUUUGCCA
Long non-coding RNA from Ochotona princeps (American pika), 465 nucleotides. RefSeq lists it as uncharacterized. The transcript is spliced from 3 exons. Lineage: Eukaryota; Metazoa; Chordata; Mammalia; Lagomorpha; Ochotonidae. The record is from RefSeq and is a predicted model, not a curated record.